Dama dama (fallow deer) is the source of this 414-nucleotide long non-coding RNA. RefSeq lists it as uncharacterized. Lineage: Eukaryota; Metazoa; Chordata; Mammalia; Artiodactyla; Cervidae. The transcript is spliced from 3 exons. The record is from RefSeq and is a predicted model, not a curated record.
UUCCCUGGUGGCUCAGAUAGUAAAGUGUCUGCCUGCAAUGUGGAAGACCUGGGUUUGAUCCCUGGGGCGGGACGAUCCCCUGGAGAAGGAAAUGGCAACCCAUUCCACUACUCUUGCCUGCAAAAUUCCAUGGUUGGAGGAGCCUGGUGCUCUUUGACAUCGAGGAGGAGGAGAGAGUCCAGCAGACUACACGUGCUGCUCACGGGACCUCCUCCAAGAAAGGCCUCUGGAUAAUAAAGGGUGAGCAGAUACUCAGCCACAUCAAAGAAGAGAUCUAAAGUCUACAUUGUGACCUGAGAAUAGAGCGAAGCCUUUCAGCCUUAUAAUCUUGAGAACAGUUAACCAAAUGAUCGCUUGAAGUUCCUGUUCUCGGCAACACCAUGAUGCUGCAGGAGACCCGAGUCCAAAGUUCAC